Molecule: long non-coding RNA, 2947 nt
Organism: Anolis carolinensis (green anole)
Lineage: Eukaryota; Metazoa; Chordata; Lepidosauria; Squamata; Anolidae
Exons: 3
Source: RefSeq, a predicted model, not a curated record
CAUCCAUCUAGGCACAAGGACAAACAUACAUAUACAUAUUCACAGAUACACAUCUAUGUGUACCAGAAUCCUCACUUACUGGGUAAAAGAUGCUGUGAUCAUCCCUUGUUGACUGGAAAGCAUCCAGUUGAUGUUCCCACCUCCUAUGCUCAAGAGAUCCCUGGUGUGAAGGGGAAUUGCAACAGAGAGGUUGAACAUGGGAAGAGAUGGAAACGGUAGCCAGCUUGUCUGCUAGUUGGAGAUGAUGGGAAUUGUAGUCACAUACAUCUGGGGGUUCCCAGACUGGAGAAAGCAAUUCCAGGAUAUUGUUCAAAAAGCUAUUUGUUGUCCCAGCUGUGAAGUUGUCUUUUUCUGACAUUGACCAUCUUGGUUCAAGGAUUCUGGGGGCUGCAGCUCAAAAAUGAUUAAAACCUACAAGUUCAACAAAUGUUUUGUGAGAGAGGAGCUGAGUAAACCAUCCCAGCUGUAGCCAAGUCACACAUCAAGAGAGCUCAACAGCAGUGGCCUCAAGCUAUUUUCUUGCCGCUUGUGUUGACACUGGCACACAUCCAAGGGCCCUUGGGAAAGGCCAGAGUUUCCAAGGAAUGGAAAAGGUGGGGCAGUACUAAGGGAAUAGGUUGCGGCUUCCUCUAUUGCAAAGAAAAGCAUCUGAGCAAGAAAGGCUUGAGGAGGAAAGCCAAUGCCAGUACAACAAAGGAGACAAGAGGACACGUUGGCAGGGGGGACCUUGACUGUCCUCGCUUUUGGAUUCCCAGGCUGAGAUCUUACAUUGCUUUGGGGUGAUAGGAGAAGUGUCUGGCUAUGCUCCAGACGCAAACCAAGAACCAUCUACAAUUACCUCAUAAGGACCUCCUGACAUCUCAGCAAAGGAUGUUAUCAGUCUGCAUCUAGCUACAGGAACAUAGCCAGACACUUAUUCAAUCCCUUCUCCUGUCUACCAGCAACACAAAGGUUGUUGUGGCACCUGUUUCAACAACAUGGUGCAUUCAAUGGAGAAGGAGGGCUUCAAUCAUUGUAGAGGACAAAAGGGAUGGCCACUUCUGCAAUUAUAUAUGCAUAUAAUCAAGGCAGACAGUGGCCUCAGUGAGGAGGAAAAAGGGAAUAUAUAUAUAGAGAGAGGGGGUGGGAGGCCCCAGUGGCACACCGGAUUAAACUGCUAAGCCGCUGAACUUGCUGACCGAAAGGCUGGCUGUUUGAAUCCUGGGAGCAGAAUGAGCUCUCGCUAUUAGCUUCAGCUUCUGCCAACCUAGCAGUUCGAAAACAUGCAAACAUGAGUAGCUCAAUAGGUACCGCUUCUGCGGGAAGGUAACGGUGCUCCAUGCAGUCAUGCUGGCCACAUGACUAGGAGGUGUUUACAUACAACGCCAGCUCUUCGGCUUAGAAAUGGAGAUGAGCACCAACCCCCAGAGCCGGACACGAUUAGACUUAAUGUCAGGGGAAACCUUUAGCUUUACUUAUACAUAUACAUAUACAUGUGUGUGUAUGUGUGUGUGUAUAGAGAGAGAGGUCUUUAAAAGAAUCACAAAAGUAUACUUAAAAAUUAUGCUCUCCUGUUAUGAGACUGGAAAAUUUGCUUUCUUGGAUAACAGUGUCCAAAACUUCCUAGUCACCAUAGCCACUUUAACCCAAUUAGACCCCAGCCUUUGGCAGACAUUAGUAAUUUUAUUGUCUUGGGCAAGGUAUUGCUUUUCAUUCUACACUGGCAUAUAAAAUCUACAUUAUCUGUUUUGGACUGGAUUAUAUGGCAGUGUAGAAUCAUAUAAUCCACUUCAAAGCAUAUGUGGAUUAUCUGAUUUGAUAAUCUGGAUUAUAUGGCAGUGUGGACCCAGCCUCACCCACCACACAAAAUAUAAUUACCCUGUGUGUUAGAGAUUGCUUGUAGGAUGGGAGUAACCCUCUUGACAAGGUUGUUCUAUGCCUCUCCAUGUUUGUAGGGCAAUUCUAAUCCCCCAGGAAUAUCUCUGUCACAGUGCUUUUGGGUUGAUGCAUACACUUUACCUUUUGCUAAUUUCAACCAGCAAUGAAACUAUUUGUAAGCUAUAUUAAAAAGGUAAAUGUAUCUGGCUAAUUCACAGGAGACAGUGAUCAAAAUUCUAUAUCAUAUCAUUGUAUCAUAAUUAUCAGCUAGCACAGUCAUGCUAUGCUAACAACAUCUGUUAUUGGGAUAUCGUGCUGUAAAUCAAUACAUCAUAUUGAUAAAAUAAUAAAAUAAACACAGGCCUCUUAUAAUACAAAUGUAACCAUGUCCCUUUAAAAAUUUCAUCACAUAAGGACUACUGCUUUAAAAAAACUCGAAUGUCCUUCCAAUUGCCUGUAUUUUUCCUUGUCUAUGUAUUUGGGCUCUAUCGGUGCUAGUGACUGCAUUUUUUCUAGUAUGUCUUAUAAACUAGCAGAGUAAAACAACUAUUUUUACCUUAACUCUCAUUAUGACUCAUAUUUUGUGAUGCUGCUACGUUAGCUUUAACUAUAGCACUCCCUUCUCUUCUUUCCCUACUCAGAGCUACUUGUUGGAGAACUGGGGGAAUUAUAUUUUCAAAUACUAUCACACCAUGUCACAAGCUCCUGUGAGGAAGUCAGAUUGCACAAUAGUCCACAUGCUCAUUUUCCACAGACAGAGUUCCUUUUUUCCUUAAAAACACAGGGAGAAAUUAUAUGCUUGUCAACUCAAUAUAUUUGUUAAAACAGUUUCCUUCCCCCUCCCUUGCUCCACUUCAUUUCCAAGUUCAAAAAGCCUUGCAUAAUUCCUUGCAUUGUCAGCAAGCCAAUUUUUCAACAUUUUGUUUAGAUGUGUUUUAGAAAAGGUUUUACUGCCACUUAGUGGACAAAGCACCACAUUGAAACUCAUGCAUAAACAACACCUUUCUACACAAUCACUGUUCUACAGGAUUAGAGAACUUAGUACAGGUUGAGCAUCCCUUAACGAAAUCCAAUAUAUUCCAAAAUUGUC